GUAGGUGAACCUGCGGAAGGAUCAUUAUUACGUAUCCAACGUAUAAACCAAUCGUGAACUGUUUCCGCCAUAGGAAUCGAGUCAAUGGCCUCUCUGCAAUAUGUUCAUUGUUAGUGAUGGUAGCUGUGCUUGCACAGUUUUCCAGGAACUGCAGUUAGGUCUUCUGUCCAAAUUUAUUUUGACAGAGACUCCUUCCUUUUGGUCGGUCUUUAACACUAACAAAUAUUCAUUAACCAUUUGUACAACAAUU
This 250-nucleotide unclassified non-coding RNA is filed under the name plant metagenome. Its description in RNAcentral is "partial contains small subunit ribosomal RNA, internal transcribed spacer 1, and 5.8S ribosomal RNA". The record is from RNAcentral.